RNAcentral lists this ribosomal RNA (292 nucleotides) under uncultured bacterium. RNAcentral describes it as "partial 16S ribosomal RNA". It matches the Rfam family "Bacterial small subunit ribosomal RNA", at positions 505 to 796 of the family's 1533-position model. The record is from RNAcentral.
GUGCCAGCAGCCGCGGUAAGACAGAGGGGGCAAGCGUUGUCCGGAUUGACUGGGCGUAAAGCGCCCGCAGGUGGUCGCGCAAGUGAGGUGUGAAAGCGCUCGGCUUAACUGAGCGAGGCCAUCUCAGACUGCGUGGCUCGAGCCGUGCAGAGGCCCGUGGAAUUGCCGGUGUAGUGGUGAAAUGCGUAGAGAUCGGCAGGAACACCCAGGGGGAAACCAGCGGGCUGGGCACGCGCUGACACUGAGGGGCGAAAGCGUGGGGAGCGAACCGGAUUAGAAACCCCCGUAGUCC